Macadamia integrifolia is the source of this 1155-nucleotide long non-coding RNA. RefSeq lists it as uncharacterized. The transcript is spliced from 5 exons. Lineage: Eukaryota; Viridiplantae; Streptophyta; Magnoliopsida; Proteales; Proteaceae. The record is from RefSeq and is a predicted model, not a curated record.
AACAAAAACAGAAGUCUCGCAUUUACCAAAAGAAAAAACUAAGCCUCACAAUUUAUUUUUAGAUCUUCAAAUUUUUUAAGUGAAAAAUUGCAGAGCUAAAGGGUAUUUCCUGAGAUCAAAGGGAAUAUAUGUGUAGGAUACUAGGAUUAGUCGGUAGUCAGACUGAGAGCUUCACAACGGUCAACUUCCAAAAAUUCCAAUUGCGAAGGAGGAGAAGGUAUAAGGUUUGGCUUCCCCAGGUACGCCCUGAUCCGAAAACUUCAUUUUGCUCACACCUCUUCUGGUGAUUAAUGUCACUGGGGAAGUGCACGUCAACUUCCAAGAACAGCAACUAGGUCCUAGCUGCGAGGUGAGAGGGGCUAGGUGUGGCUCCCCCAAGUACCUCCUGAUCUGGAAUUUCCAUUUGUAUCUUCCUUCUUCUGCUGAUUUAUAAACUGCGGAAGAAUACGUUUCAACUUCCAAGAGCGGCAGGAGGUGGGAGGUGCGAGGUGCGAGGCUCCCUCAGGAGCGUAAUCAGAUCUACUACCUUCCGUCAUCUUUUUAUGAAUGUUUCCUUCUCGUCUUUGACAAAAAAAAUCUGAUCUUUGCCGGCUCAUGUGCAUUUCUCGACGUGGUUCUAGAUGAAGUUGAUGCAGAUGAUGUUCUUGUUGUUUCUCAUAUUUUGAUUUAAAGCCAUGAACUGGAUUCAGCGAAAGAUCUACCUGUACAAUGUCACUUUCGGACCAUAUGGGUUGGAUUGGUGGGAAAAGUACAUAUUCAAUUUAUUGGUGAUCAUGUUGCUCUGGUUUAUUUGCUACAAUGGAUCACGAACUGCAGCUGAGUUUUAUAGAAGCCAUCUCAAGGUUAUGCUUGGAAUUGGAGAGUGAUAUGAUUGUUGAAGGUAGAAUGGAAGCAGGGUGAUUUCAAUCAGGAUUGCUCUUUGGGAUUUGUUGAUAUUGCAAUCUGCCUUCUUUGUUAUGUGCAUUUAUGUAGAUUAUCUUUUUAAACUAUUAUGAUUUUCUUUUAGUGCAAAUGUUGUUUUUAUUUUUCAUCCAGACAAGACUUUCCUACAUGGGCAGCUGCAUCUUGUAAAGACCAUGUAAAGACAAUUUGUAGAAAAUAUCCAAAGUACUGGACAUAGUUAAUAAUUGAAAAGUAAGGAACAGAAUGUACAAA